GUGUCUAGAUUUUAGAGUACAUAUACCAAAAUUGGAACGAUACAGAGAAGAUUAACAUGUCCCCUUCGCAAGAAUGACACCUGCAGCCUCCAUGGCCUUCUCCUGGAUU
Stegodyphus dumicola is the source of this 109-nucleotide small nuclear RNA. Lineage: Eukaryota; Metazoa; Arthropoda; Arachnida; Araneae; Eresidae. The record is from RefSeq and is a predicted model, not a curated record.